CAGAUUAAUCUGAAUAAGGUUGGAGAGUACUGGUGGAGUGCUAUCCUGGAAGGAGAGGAGCAAAUUGACAUUGACAAAAUAAACAAGGAACGUUCAAUGGCGACAGUGGAUGAAGAGGAACAUGCCGUACUGGAUAGACUGACCUUUGACUACCACCAAAAACUGCAGGGCAAACCCCAGAGCCAUGAGCUGAAAGUCCAUGAGAUGCUGAAGAAAGGAUGGGAUGCUGAAGGCUCCCCCUUCCGAGGCCAGAGAUUCGACCCAUCCAUGUUCAACAUCUCCCCAGGGGCUGUGCAGUUUUAAUGACAAGAAGGAAAGAAAACCCACUCAAGUCAAGCUCUUGGAUGUAGAGGAUAAGGCAGAGAAAGGCCUUUUUGUGUGGGCUCUUUCCCUCCUGCUUUUCCUCCAAGGCUCCCAUGCAUGCCUGGUACUCAUCUUGUCCACCCCUGUAUCCAUCUUUAUUUGCAAGGGGUGUUUGGGUACCCCAGCCUCCUGCCUCCUCCCUUCCUGUCUGUUUCAGGGAAGAAGGGGAGGGAGUAGAGGGAAGGUUAAUGCAUAGCAACUGCUACGGCUGAUGCCAAGUUAGGAUAUUUGUUAUGCAUGAGGGAGAUGUCCUGGCAAAUGCAGGAUUACAUACUCCUGUCACCACGGUAACCAGCCGCUGCAAGCCGCAUUUUCUUUCCUUCUGUGUUCUCUGCUUGCUGUUGUUUUGAUGCGAUUCUGCUCAGUUCUCUUUAGGGGGUGGGGAGGGAGGGUCGGGGGGGAAGGGAGUUGCUGUUGCUGGGUUUUUUCCUGGCAGUUGUUGGAGUGAUUUGGAGUUGUGUGACUUACAUGUGCUGAUGAGAAGCAGCUCUGUGAUGGCUGCUUCAGGCUGUACUGUUUCAGGAAGCCCCUUAGUUUGGCCUUUUGUUUAAAAAUUCCACAUUCAGUCUUGCUCAUCAAUUUGUCAAGUCCUAUUUUUUCCUGCUUUUGGGUGCCUCCCAGGCACUAACAGUAGGAGAUUGAAGCUGCCCCCACAGUGGCAGAAACCUGCCUAGUUGGGAUUCUGGUGUCUUUAUUUGUUGCUCUCUUGUUGAACAAGGCCCAGGUGUUGGAAGGAGGUGCAAGUUCUCCCAGCAAAGAUCAGCUGCAGGUAGACAUUUCUGUCUCAGGAAAGAGUGCAGGAUAGAGCUGUCUAAUCAUGGCUUUCUCUGAGGCCAAGGAAGCUUAGGCCACUGCCUGUUUGUCCCAGUGUUGGCCAUGCGUUCUAUCCCACUGUUGUCUGAGUAAUGGACUUCUAGCUGCCACUCUUCUUCUAUGUUUAUCCUCAAGUCUCUUUUCAGCCCCCAUGAUCCACAACUUAUAUUUUGUUUACAUACAUCUCCUGGAUGAAUGUAGAGCUCAGUGGGAGGCAGGACAGUCUCUGAGAACAGGGGAGAUAUUUCAGCAUACAAUGAAUGAUAGGUUUGCCCUCUGUUGAAAGGCACAGAGCAGUGGAAAUCCUUAGAUGAUUAAUGGGUAGCCUGCAUAGGAUAUCAUUGAUGCCCUCAAGGGCCCCAGUGGAACCAUUGCUGUCCCUGAAGAAUAAUUGCAAAAAGGGUAGGAAUAAGGAUGCUGACUCCCAUGUGCUGAGCAGACAGAGGCAGAAAUGUCAGGAACUUGGUACACUCAAAAUCCUGCUCUGUAUGAGCUGGAUGCUUGGUUACAUAAGAGAAAGAACCUUAUUAAUACCUAAAAAACAACUGUCUUGCUAAUCUGUGCUAUUGAUGAGGAUGGGACCUCCACUUUAAAAACUGCUUACAGGUGAGCGGGCCUGCUGACUGUUUCUUCUGAAGUCUACAAACGAGUACUCUUUAGUUCUUUGCUUGUUCAGGGACACUUGUUUUUCAGUGUUCCUUAGAAACAGCACAUGACUGUUAGCUUGAAAGAUAUAAACAUAGCCCACUUUGAUUAAAUCUUUAUCCCCAUCCCAUUUGACCACCACUCAGAAAGCAAAGCCUUCAGAUUCACCUAGCAUUGCAUACCUAAUUAACAGAUAAUCCAGGAACAUAAAUUAUAUCAAUUUUUUUUCUGAGUUCCUAGAGAAAUUUCUAUUUGCUUCAGAACCCCACCCCAAUUUAUGGUCACCCAGAAUUAAUACCUACAUGUUGUUAUUGUGACCCUUUUCUGAGAGAAUAAUAGACUGAUUUUUAUGGGACAAGCAAUUCCUUGUGCUUACCCACUCCUUACAGGAGUGGGUGGGUCCAGCAGCCAAGCAGUGAUCUUACUGAGGCUGUCGUUUUGGAGUCAGCCGCUGACUUACAACUUAUUUCCAGCCACACUGUUUCCCUGGAGUCCUUAUAAGAAAGCUGUUCAACUCUCAUCCCCAGGGAACUUUCCAUAGGACAUGUCACUUUUUUCUGCAGAAAAGACCAGGGUCAUCCUCUUGAGUUAAAUGGUGGAUCUCUUCAGAAUCAGAAGUGUUAAGGUGUCCAGGUGGUGUUGGGGGCAGCAUCAGCUCAUUCCAAACAAUUAAAGACUCCUAAAAAGUCUAAGAGAUAUCUCGUCUUGGGGAAGUGAUGGCAGACACCACCAUGUUUUUGGGGGGUUAGUCACUAAAGCUAUAGUUUUUAUGAAUCAGAAUAGAACUGUCCUCUAGAAAUACAGAGCAAAAAAAAAUGAAAACUCAUGCCUAUUAUGAGGGCCUUGUGCUUUGAAACUUGCUAAAAUGCGAGGGUCUCUGCUCGUUUCUCUCUGAGUUCACAUGAAAGGGAGUGAGGCUAGUAUACCCUCAUUCCAAAGUAGCAUUUCACAGAUGGAAUGCUCUAUGUUUAAAGAUUCCUUUAUUUUUAAUUUUUAAUGAUGUUUGUAUGCACCUCUUGAACCUUGUUUGUCCUUCUCUCUUGCUGUUUUUAGCAUGUUUCUAAUUUACAGUUUUGCCAUCUCCUUGAGUACCCAUGGUAUAGGAGCUUUGCAGAAGGAUAUAUGUGGUUUGGCUAAAGCAGGGACAAUAGAUAAUCUGUCCAUAAACUACUGGAAGAUUUUUAAAAAUGAUUCACUUCUAUUGUAAAUGUUCUUCUACCUAGGGCAUCAUUUGAUAGUGCCCUAAUGUGGCUCAGGUCUUCUGUCUUUUGUUAGGAAGUAUCAAAUGAUAGAAGCUCUACUAGCAUGCCCCUAUUAAAAUAAAUGAAACCACUUCACAAAAAUAGGAACUUUAAGGGGUGUUUAAUUACAUUACAGAAGGACUCACUUUAAGAUUCCUUUUAGUAGCAGGGUUCUCUGGUGCAUGUUAAGUGACUAGACUUGGAAGACUUGGACUCAGACCCACCUUUCCAGGAUAUGCAUUAAUCACAUCUAUCUGUAUUUUUAAACCUUCAUCCUCUGCUCUGUAAUGAUGUGCUUUCUCUUCUUAAACGUCUGCCCAACCCUUUUGUGUCCAUGUACCAGUCCAGCCCUCUAGAGUCAGUGCAUUCUACCAGUUUUCUUUGUUUUAGAACUGGCAGCAGCAACUUGGCCAUUAAGUUCAACCAAAAGAGAUUCUGAGCAAAACAGGGCAACUCACUUCCCUUCUCCAUGGGAGCCAAAGAGAGUAGGGCGUGCUACAUCCUGAGGCCACUCUCCUUCACACACUCCACAUUUCUGUGUUGGUUUGCAAUAAAUCUGUAUUUAAGCA
Molecule: long non-coding RNA, 3631 nt
Organism: Vombatus ursinus (common wombat)
Lineage: Eukaryota; Metazoa; Chordata; Mammalia; Diprotodontia; Vombatidae
Exons: 2
Source: RefSeq, a predicted model, not a curated record